Molecule: ribosomal RNA, 429 nt
Filed under: Triticum aestivum (bread wheat)
Lineage: Eukaryota; Viridiplantae; Streptophyta; Magnoliopsida; Poales; Poaceae
Description: partial small subunit ribosomal RNA
Source: RNAcentral
AUGAUACGAGCUAUUCGGUUGGUUUUGGUUGAUGUGUUGCACCGUCUCUGCUCAUGGCACGUGGAAAAAAACAUGCAGAAGCACCUUAAUUACAAAUCGCUAAGUGAGUUCAUGGCACUCUUGUACUACUCCACCUCUCCAGCCAACUUUGAGGCGAGAUGGCACACUUUUGUCCGUAAAUGGAAGACUGAUAAAACAGAAGAGUGGCUGAGUAGGAUGUACAGAAAGAGGAGUCUGUGGGCAGCAUCAUAUCUGUCAGAUGGUUUUUUUCUGGGUAUGCGCAGUAAUCAAAGGAGUGAAAGUCUUAACUCUUGUCUUCACCUGCACUUGGACGGCGGUAUGACUAUUGUUGACCUAGUUGUGCAUUAUGAGAAUUGCAUAGUCCGACUACGUGAGAACGAGGCGCAUGAUGACUGUGUUUCAAAUUAG